Panicum virgatum (switchgrass) is the source of this 533-nucleotide long non-coding RNA. RefSeq lists it as uncharacterized. The transcript is spliced from 3 exons. The record is from RefSeq and is a predicted model, not a curated record. Lineage: Eukaryota; Viridiplantae; Streptophyta; Magnoliopsida; Poales; Poaceae.
UAGCAGAUGCGCCUAGCUCGAUGGAGGAUUCAGAUUGGGGAAAUAGGCUAGGAUUUUUUUUCCUAGGGGAUAUUCGAUGAGGGGCAUUUGCUGCAUUUGCUCGCCUAGCUAGGGUUUGUUUCCAACUCCAGUGUAUACACGAAAGAGGGCCAACAGACCCAAGAGGAGUUACAGAAAAGGAACCUCGGGGAGGAACGUGAGCGCAAGCACUACUCUUCCAAGGAUAAGUCCUAUGAUGAAGAGAGAGACCGGCGGGAAAGUUUAAGCCAGCUACUCUUAGAAGGUCCAAAGAGAGAUGCUGAGGAUAAGAUAGUUCCACGAGAAUCGAUGCAGAUGACUCCGAUGUGGUGCCUAAAAGUUACGACAAAAGGUCUGUAUCAUUUUCCUUUUAAGUGAAAAGUGCUGGGAUUUUUCUUGUUUCUACCCUAGCAGUAUUGACCUUAUUUGUGACUGCAAUAACUGUAGAUUGUGUUAAAAACACCUUUUUGUUUUUUUAUGUGUCACCUUCAGUAAAACGUUCUAUACCCACAAGA